This 1136-nucleotide long non-coding RNA is filed under the name Numida meleagris (helmeted guineafowl). RNAcentral describes it as "lncRNA (ENSNMEG00000002093.1)". Lineage: Eukaryota; Metazoa; Chordata; Aves; Galliformes; Numididae. The record is from RNAcentral.
AUGGGUCUCUAUGGUUUCCUAUGGGUCUCUAUGGUUUCCUAUGGGUCUCUAUGGUUUCCUAUGGGUCUCUAUGGUUUCCUAUGGGUCUCUAUGGUUUCCUAUGAGUGCUUAUGGGUCGCUAUGGGUCUUUAUGGGUCUUUAUGGGAUUCUAUGGGUCUCUCUAUGGGUCUCUAUGAGUUCCUACGGGAUUCUAUGGGUCUCUCUCUAUGGGUCCCUAUGGGAUUCUAUGGGUCGCUAUGGGUCCUUAUGGGUCCUUACGGGUCUCUAUGGAUCUCUGUGGGAUUCUAUGGGUCUCUAUGGAUCCCUAUGAGAUUCCAUGGGUCCCUAUGGGAUUAUAUGGGUCCUUAUAGGUCCCUAUGGAUUUCUAUGGGUCCCUAUGGGAUUCUAUUGGUCCCUAUGGGAUUCUAUUGGUCUCUAUGGGGUUCUAUGGGUCUCUCUGUGGGUCUCUGUGGGUUUCUAUGGGUCUCUAUGGGUCUCUAUGGGGUCUUUCUAUGGGUCCCUAUGGGUUUCUCUGUUGUUCUGUAUGGGUCCCUAUGGAUCUGGGUCUCUAUGGGUCUUUCUAUGGGUCCAUAUGGAAUUGUAUGGGUCCCUAUGGGAUCCUAUGGGAUUCUAUGGGUCUGUAUGGGGUCUCUCUGGGUCCCUAUGGGAUUCUAUGGGUCCUUAUGGUUUCCUAUGGGUCCCUAUAGGUCCCUAUGGGUCUUUAUGGGUUCCUAUGGGAUUCUAUGGGUCCCUAUAGUUUUCUAUGGGUCCCUAUGGUUUCCUGUGGGUCCCUAUAGUUUCCUAUGGGUUCCUAUGGGUCUUUAUGGGUCCAAAUGGGAUUCUAUGGGUCCCUAUGGUCCCUAUGGGAUUCUGUGGGUCCCUAUGGGAUUCUAUGGGUCCUUAUGGUUUCCUAUGGGUCCCUAUGGGUCUUUAUGGAUCCCUAUGGGUCCCUAUGGGAUUCUGUGGGUCUGUAUGGGGUCUCUAGGAUUCUGUGGGUCCCUAUGGGUCCCUAUGGGAUUCUAUGGGUCCGUAUGGGAUUCUAUGGGUCCGUAUGGGAUUCUAUGGGUCCCUAUGGGAUUCUAUGGGUCCCUAUGGGAUUCUAUGGGUCCCUAUGGGAUUCUAUGGGUCCCUAUGGGAUUCUAUGGGUCCCUAUGGGA